Molecule: transfer RNA, 72 nt
Filed under: Camelus bactrianus (Bactrian camel)
Lineage: Eukaryota; Metazoa; Chordata; Mammalia; Artiodactyla; Camelidae
Also listed under: 3 other names
Rfam family: tRNA
About the family: Transfer RNA (tRNA) molecules are approximately 80 nucleotides in length. Their secondary structure includes four short double-helical elements and three loops (D, anti-codon, and T loops). Further hydrogen bonds mediate the characteristic L-shaped molecular structure. tRNAs have two regions of fundamental functional importance: the anti-codon, which is responsible for specific mRNA codon recognition, and the 3' end, to which the tRNAs corresponding amino acid is attached (by aminoacyl-tRNA synthetases). tRNAs cope with the degeneracy of the genetic code in two manners: having more than one tRNA (with a specific anti-codon) for a particular amino acid; and 'wobble' base-pairing, i.e. permitting non-standard base-pairing at the 3rd anti-codon position.
Source: Rfam by way of RNAcentral
GAGAGUAUAGCUCAGUGGUAGAGUGUGUGCUUGGCAUGCACAAGGUCCUGGGUUCAAUCCCCAGUACCUCCA